GAGGGUAUAGCUCAGUGAUAGAGUGCAUGUUUAGCAUGCACGAGGUCAUGAGUUCAAUCCCCAGUACCUCCC
RNAcentral lists this transfer RNA (72 nucleotides) under Camelus bactrianus (Bactrian camel). It matches the Rfam family "tRNA". Rfam says of the family: Transfer RNA (tRNA) molecules are approximately 80 nucleotides in length. Their secondary structure includes four short double-helical elements and three loops (D, anti-codon, and T loops). Further hydrogen bonds mediate the characteristic L-shaped molecular structure. tRNAs have two regions of fundamental functional importance: the anti-codon, which is responsible for specific mRNA codon recognition, and the 3' end, to which the tRNAs corresponding amino acid is attached (by aminoacyl-tRNA synthetases). tRNAs cope with the degeneracy of the genetic code in two manners: having more than one tRNA (with a specific anti-codon) for a particular amino acid; and 'wobble' base-pairing, i.e. permitting non-standard base-pairing at the 3rd anti-codon position. The record is from Rfam by way of RNAcentral. RNAcentral also lists the same sequence under 2 other names. Lineage: Eukaryota; Metazoa; Chordata; Mammalia; Artiodactyla; Camelidae.